CUCUGACCAAAGCCAGCAACCAGUUAUGAGGAUGCAGCCGCAGUUCAGGUUUCGCUGUCACCGGGGGUAUGAGUCAGAAGUGGCCACACUGAGACUGUUAUAAGAGCCCUGGCCAGUAGGAAUGACAUCUGAAGCACAACAGGUGAGGUCCAAGGACUACUCCCAGAGCCAAGAAAAUCUCCCACCUCCCCAUGCCGUAUGCUACUGAGAUAGCAGUUUGUAUCAUCGGCCAAAGGAUAACACAUUUAAAUGUAUGCAAGGAGCCUUAUAAGGGCAUUAACACUUGCCUCCAGGUUGGACGUCACGAUGGCGAGCCAAGGAAGAGGCGCCAAUAAUAGAUUCCUUGUGUUUGUACGUGC
This is a long non-coding RNA of Neopelma chrysocephalum (saffron-crested tyrant-manakin), 359 nucleotides long. RefSeq lists it as uncharacterized. NCBI's taxonomy places the organism in Eukaryota, Metazoa, Chordata, Aves, Passeriformes, Pipridae. The transcript has 3 exons. The record is from RefSeq and is a predicted model, not a curated record.